GGCUUACGGGUAGUUGGUCUGAGAGGAUGAUCAGCAACACUGGGACUGAGACACUGCCCAGACUCCUACGGGAGGCUGCAGUCGAGAAUCAUUGUCAAUGCACGAAAGUGUGAACAUGCGACGCCGCGUGGAGGAAGACGGCCUUUGGGUUGUAAACUCCUGUCAGCAGGGAGUAAGGACGGCACUUUCAAUACAUGUGCCGUUUGAUAGUACCUGCAGAGGAAGUCACGGCUAACUCUGUGCCAGCAGCCGCGGUAAUACAGAGGUGGCGAACGUUGUUCGGAUUUACUGGGCGUAAAGGGUCCGCAGGCGGUCCGGUGUGUCAGAUGUGAAAGCCCACAGCUUAACUGUGGAAUUGCAUUUGAAACUGCCGGACUAGAGUACUGGAGGGGAGAAGGGAACACUUGGUGUAGCGGUGAAAUGCGUAGAUAUCAAGUGGAACACCGGUGGCGAAGGCGCUUCUCUGGACAGAUACUGACGCUCAUGGACGAAAGUUAGGGUAGCGAAAGGGAUUAGAUACCCCUGUAGUCCUAACCGUAAACGGUGUGCGCUAGGCGUGGGUGGCUUUACCCCCAUCCGUGCCUGAGCUAACGCAUUAAGCGCACCGCCUGGGGAGUACGGUCGCAAGAUUAAAACUCAAAGGAAUUGACGGGGACCCGCACAAGCGGUGGAGCAUGUGGCUUAAUUCGAUGCAACGCGAAGAACCUUACCUGGGCUUGACAUAUAGCUGCAUACGAUCCGAAAGGAACGUAGCCUUCGAGGGUGCUAUACAGGUGCUGCAUGGCUGUCGUCAGCUCGUGCCGUGAGGUGUUGGGUUAAGUCCCGCAACGAGCGCAACCCCUGUGUUUAGUUGCCAGCACGUAAUGGUGGGAACUCUAAACAGACUGCCUGUGAAAACAGGAGGAAGGUGGGGAUGACGUCAAGUCAGUAUGGUCCUUAUGUCCAGGGCUGCACACGUGCUACAAUGGGAUGUACAGUGGGAAGCUAAGCCGCGAGGUGGAGCAAAUCCUCAAAACAUCCCCCAGUUCGGAUUGGAGUCUGAAACUCGACUCCAUGAAGUUGGAAUCGCUAGUAAAGGCGUAUCAGCUACGACGCCUUGAAUACGUUCCCGGGUCUUGUACACACCGCCCGUCACAUCAUGGAAGUGAGUUGCACCCGAAGUUGCUGAUCCAACCCGUCAAGGGAGGAAGGCACCUAAGGUGUGAUUCAUAACUGUGAUGAAGUCGCAACAAGGUA
This 1236-nucleotide ribosomal RNA is filed under the name metagenome. RNAcentral describes it as "bacterial SSU rRNA". It matches the Rfam family "Bacterial small subunit ribosomal RNA", at positions 274 to 1498 of the family's 1533-position model. The record is from RNAcentral.